AGAGAAGUUCCUAUCUCACUGGCUUUGUAGAAACCUUGGUUUCUGCGCCAGGAACAGAAUUCCUCUGUAACCCAGGCGCUGGCUUUAAUUUCAGAGCGGCGAUGAAUUGCUCUUUUGAAAAUACUCUCAGUAUAUUCAUGUGUUAGAAUACAGAUGAGCCUCCCACUAAGCUUCACAGGCAUCGGCACAGUCAACUGAACCAAAUCUGCAGAAAGUUGGAUAAUGAGACUCCUGGACAUUUGCAUUUAAAUUGACUGAUCCAGCACAUGCACCGGAGGAGGAAAAAAAGGGGGGUGUAGGGGUGUAGUCUGAUGGGCCUGAGCUCUCCAAGGAAGAAGACUGUCAAGGAGAGCAGGGGACAACCUGACUUGUCAUCUAUUUAGGGGGUGUCCGUGUUACAAAGGUGAUAGGGGUGGGGCUGUUAGGUGCUUUUCAUCGUUAAACAUGACUAAAAUUGAAUUUGCUUUUGUAACUCUUCGUCAUUGAUUGCUAGGAGAGUGACGGUAGGCAUUGCCUCUCAAUGCAAAAGAAAUAGCUGGACUGUUACGCACAUAUAGUAUUAGGUUUGCUGUGUGUAGGUUGAAGAUUUAGAGUCGUUAGUAGCCAGACAAUAUACAGUCAGUCCUCACAGAUAUUUGCCUGCUCCUCCCUAGCCAUUCUACAUGCACAGACAUUUUGCAGCUGUUAAACUAUUCGUGGAACUCUGUAUGUGAUACAUGCGUUAAAAUGGAAACAAUGUAUACCCGUGCUUUGGUUGCCACUGAGAUGGAAACAACAUCCCAGAGCCUUCCAGUUUUACAUAGACCACACUGAACCUGCUGUGUUAGGAAGGCAUGUCAGUUCUUUUUCUCACACGUGAGACUUUUGUAUCUCAUUUUUCUAUAUGAUUUGGGUGUAUUUAUUUGGGGGAAAAUGUUUGUAAUUAUAAGACUAGAAAACCACACCUCGCUGUAUGGCCAAGUUCCUUGUACACUCCCCACGGCGUCCGUGCUUCUGUGGCUGAGAAGCUGAUCCUCUGGAUAGAGCUAUGGCAGCCUUGUGAUCAGUUCAUUGUGUCCCAGGACCAUAUCCACUGACAUGGUUCAUAGAUGACUUAAUAAAAGGAAACUGUGUCCUCAGUUGACCCAGCACAACUACAGAUU
RNAcentral lists this long non-coding RNA (1142 nucleotides) under Rattus norvegicus (Norway rat). RNAcentral describes it as "long non-coding RNA NONRATT028439". The record is from RNAcentral. Lineage: Eukaryota; Metazoa; Chordata; Mammalia; Rodentia; Muridae.